UAAUAGUAGUUUGAAUGAAUUUAUUCCUACCUUCAACUUUAAAGAGCAAGAGGACAGUGAAGCUGAUUCAAGAAACAGGCAAUGCCACAAAGGAUGCAAGCUACCCAAGCCCGGCUGUGGAUGAGGCAGUUCUUAGGAGUUGAGGCAGCCCUGCAGGAGGUCCUCUGCUAUUAAGAACUCAUGUCCUACAGCUGGGGACCAAGUACUUUUUUGAACUGGGAAUUGAGUGGAGCACUUCUGUGGCUACCGAGUCUGCUUUUUGUGCUUGUCAUAGCUACCUCUCCAUAUCGGAAGAAAAGUUCCUCCAAGAUUCUGGUGCCCCUUUCAUCCUGUCAAAGACAGGAAGAGGGACAUUGAGAAGGAAAACUGUGAUCUUCACCUCCUGUAGUUUGUUUAAUGCUCUUAGUAAAUAUUUAUCAUUAAACUCUCCUAAUUAUUUAUUCUACUUAUCUGUGGCCUCCACUGGCUAUUGUGGCUCAUCUGGUGGCCUAGUCGUCACCCUCAUACCUGAGGAGCUGAGCAUUAAGUUACCAUGUACAUCUAUGGCUAUGUUGGCUUAAUCUGUUCAUUUAAAUUCACAGUUAGACAAGGGAGUCCCAGAAAAAUUCAAGUGAAAUCCCUGGGAUUCACACAUAAUCCUUUGUGUUUCCAUUGUGCAACAGUAGCAUCCUAGUGAUCAGAAUCAGUUUCCUCUGCCAACGUGAUGACUCCUCUCCUUGACUCCUGGUCCUUAGAUUUAAGGAUCCCGAAGUUCCCAAACAGCAGCCACAACUACAAGUGAAUGGAAUUCUUGCAAUGCACCCUGGCAAAGUCAAUUUUGGGGCCGGAAGCCCUAAUUCUGCUCAGUCCAGGGUUGCAAGACGGAAAGCAAAUUGCUCCCUGAUGAGGCAUUAAGCAUGACAGGAAAUGGUGCUACUCCUACUUCCAUCCCUUAGCAUGUAGGCUUUAUUCAUACCUUGGACAGAGCAUAAUACAAAUUCAUUUGAUUCUAUUAUAUCUGGCUUCCUGGAGGACAGCCCUCAUCCUUGAAGAAUAGUGCCUGUAUGCUAGGACUUUAACUGUGCCUCCAGCAGGCAAUCCCAACCCUAUUACACUAGCUGCUGCUGGAUGGUGUGGUAAGUGAUAUUGGAUCUGGAAGCAAAACUCUGUUUAUUAAUGUUUAUUCUGUUGACAUAGUAAUUGAGAGUAACAAGUAUUUUCUUUUUUAAUAAUAUGAUGCUAUUCAUUUUUGGCUUUGAUCAUUUCUAUUGCCCUGUAGACCCUGAUGUAUAUCCAUUCAGCCCUGUGAGAUCCCAGAAGCUCUCCCUAGCUUCUCAGUCUUUCAGCUGUUCCUUUUAUGUUUGGAGUCAGUAAUUAUCUCUUACAAAAAUUUGUCUCAAAUGUCUACUUCACUUCUCUUGUCUUCCUUCUUUCCUCUUUUGGCUCUUCAAAUCCUCACAGCCCUGAUAGCUCAAAUAAAUGUUGUGUAAUUUUCCUAGAUUAUCUAGUUUCUUUUUCUCAUUAAGAGUGCUCAUCACAGAGACAUAGUCAUCCAUUGCUUGAUGGCUGACAUUUUAUAUUUACAAAACAUCAUGUGCUUCAGUUUGUUAAAGGUUUUGCAUCUGUAUUUGUUAGUAAAAAUAUAUGUAUAAUUUUAUUUACUGCUUACAUAUUAAUCUAUGGAUCUAUUAUUUAUUUAUUCAUUUCAUUAUCUAGUAUUGGAUCAAUAAUGCACAAUUAUCAUAAAAGUUACCGGGCAUAUUUUAUACUGUUUUCCUAAUUCUUGAUAUAGCAUGGAUCUGAAUAAUUAUCUUUGGAAGUUUGAUAAAACUAACUUUGAAAAGAAUUAGAACUAUUUUAGUCUUGUAUUUCUGAUUUUGUUUUUAAGUGGGGUAGUAAGAGGAUAAAGGAAUGUAAGUAAAUGCCAUUUUAAUUUUUUGAAUAGCAUUUGAGCAAAAAUAUUAUUGUUUUAUAAACCUACUUUUAAAAUCUUUUGUAUUUAUUUUUAACUGUAUUGCAUUAUUGUUAGGCUU
RNAcentral lists this long non-coding RNA (2012 nucleotides) under Homo sapiens (human). RNAcentral describes it as "HSALNT0142202". The record is from RNAcentral. Lineage: Eukaryota; Metazoa; Chordata; Mammalia; Primates; Hominidae.